This 270-nucleotide long non-coding RNA is filed under the name Theobroma cacao (cacao). Its description in RNAcentral is "long non-coding RNA (TCAC_LNC003217)". Lineage: Eukaryota; Viridiplantae; Streptophyta; Magnoliopsida; Malvales; Malvaceae. The record is from RNAcentral.
GGUAUUUUAAGUAUAAUUGGAGUGUAGAAAGUGAAAGAAAUUGAUUUGGAGUUAAAUUGGAGGUUUUAGCCAAUUACACCGAGAAUAGUGCGAAUUAGGUCGAAUAUCGUAUUUAAAUGGCUAUUCGAACAUUUUGCAUCACAUUUUGUGCAUUCAUAUAGAUUUAUAGAGCUUGAAAUAGUUUAUGAUAAAUUGACACAAUUUAUUGAAAUUCGUGUCACAUAUGAUGUAUAGGUGGUGAGCCCUCUAACAAGGGUAAAGAGAUUGUGC